UAGCUUUCUGUCUGAUGCAAUUUCAAGCUGCAGCUGACCCCUGUCUUCACUCUCCUCCUGCUGUUCAAUGUAGCUGUCCCAUGUAUUGCCUGCCCUUGGGGCUUAUCAAAGGGGAUCAACCAAUUCAUCAUCAAUAAUUUAACAGUGGCAUACUACCAUAGCAUGAGUUAACAAAGGGGAAUGACGGGCAGAGCAGUGUCUUGAUGCUAUUGCGAUGGGUGCUCUUGCUAAAGGAGAAAUUUUAUUAGGAAGAGAAGAGAGGAGUGAAUACAGACCAUGUGGAAUUGCCAUGAUGAAGAUGGAUGGAGGGAAGAGAAAAGCAUCAAAGAACAGCGUUCAUGAUAUUAGUGAUGAUGAUGAUAACUUAUUGAGCACUUUCUACAAAAAUCAUAGCUGACACUAUUGAACACUUAGUGUCAGAUAUUAUGUAAUAAACUUUACAUACUAAUGAGGUUAAACAUCUUUU
Molecule: long non-coding RNA, 466 nt
Filed under: Homo sapiens (human)
Lineage: Eukaryota; Metazoa; Chordata; Mammalia; Primates; Hominidae
Description: HSALNT0250125
Source: RNAcentral